This 107-nucleotide small nuclear RNA is filed under the name Castor canadensis (American beaver). The record is from RNAcentral. Lineage: Eukaryota; Metazoa; Chordata; Mammalia; Rodentia; Castoridae.
GUGCUCACUUUGGCAGCAAAUAUACUAAAAUUUGAAUGAUACAGAGAAGAUUAGCAUGGUCCCUGGGCGAGGAUGACAUGCAAAUUUGUGAAGCAUUCCAUAUUUUU